GCUCUCUCUCUCUAGUGUCAUCACCAAAGUCUUCAAGAUCACUUUCACCGCCCUCUCUCCAUAAGAAAAUUAUCAUAACUCUUUUUUUUUUUAAUAAAUAAAAUAAAAAACAGAAAGAAGAAGAAGAAGAGAAUGAGUGAUCCCAAGUACGCUUAUCCUUACCCAGCUCAAGGGUAUUACCAGGGACCGCGGGUGGUGGCUCCGCCGCAGUACGCAGCUCCGCCGCCGAGAAGGCAGCCCGGUUUUCUUGAGGGAUGCCUGGCGGCGCUGUGUUGCUGCUGCUUGCUGGACGAGUGCUGCUGUGAUCCCACCAUCAUUUUUGACUUUUGAUGUUUUCCUUACAUCUUCUUCUGCUUGUGGUUGUAAUGUCUAUAUAUUAAUAUCUCUGUAUGUCAUCUUAUAACUGUCUGCCAUUGUAUUACAUCUUAUUACAUGUUUCAUUUUCUUA
Tarenaya hassleriana is the source of this 448-nucleotide long non-coding RNA. RefSeq lists it as uncharacterized. The record is from RefSeq and is a predicted model, not a curated record. The transcript is spliced from 3 exons. NCBI's taxonomy places the organism in Eukaryota, Viridiplantae, Streptophyta, Magnoliopsida, Brassicales, Cleomaceae.